Molecule: ribosomal RNA, 843 nt
Filed under: Arthrobacter sp. RODSPM20
Lineage: Bacteria; Bacillati; Actinomycetota; Actinomycetes; Micrococcales; Micrococcaceae
Description: bacterial SSU rRNA
Rfam family: Bacterial small subunit ribosomal RNA
Source: RNAcentral
UGCAGUCGAACGAUGAUGCCAGCUUGCUGGUGGAUUAGUGGCGAACGGGUGAGUAACACGUGAGUAACCUGCCCUUAACUCUGGGAUAAGCCUGGGAAACUGGGUCUAAUACCGGAUAUGACUCCUCAUCGCAUGGUGGGGGGUGGAAAGCUUUAUUGUGGUUUUGGAUGGACUCGCGGCCUAUCAGCUUGUUGGUGAGGUAAUGGCUCACCAAGGCGACGACGGGUAGCCGGCCUGAGAGGGUGACCGGCCACACUGGGACUGAGACACGGCCCAGACUCCUACGGGAGGCAGCAGUGGGGAAUAUUGCACAAUGGGCGAAAGCCUGAUGCAGCGACGCCGCGUGAGGGAUGACGGCCUUCGGGUUGUAAACCUCUUUCAGUAGGGAAGAAGCGAAAGUGACGGUACCUGCAGAAGAAGCGCCGGCUAACUACGUGCCAGCAGCCGCGGUAAUACGUAGGGCGCAAGCGUUAUCCGGAAUUAUUGGGCGUAAAGAGCUCGUAGGCGGUUUGUCGCGUCUGCCGUGAAAGUCCGGGGCUCAACUCCGGAUCUGCGGUGGGUACGGGCAGACUAGAGUGAUGUAGGGGAGACUGGAAUUCCUGGUGUAGCGGUGAAAUGCGCAGAUAUCAGGAGGAACACCGAUGGCGAAGGCAGGUCUCUGGGCAUUAACUGACGCUGAGGAGCGAAAGCAUGGGGAGCGAACAGGAUUAGAUACCCUGGUAGUCCAUGCCGUANACGUUGGGCACUAGGUGUGGGGGACAUUCCACGUUUUCCGCGCCGUAGCUAACGCAUUAAGUGCCCCGCCUGGGGAGUACGGCCGCAAGGCUAAAACUCAAAGGAAUU